GUCGGGCUUAUCCCGACGUCAUACAAUGAUUGCUUUUCAAGGUGCUCCCACUGCGGAGGAAUCAGGAUGCCAAACAAUUGGUCAUAUAGUUCUCGAUCUUCUUUUAGGACCAUAUCAUUUUUAUUUGAGGAAAGAUCGGGAGUGGUCCACUUCCAAUCAAAACCCCAAGGGUAGUCGGUUGCUACAAAGAAACACUUAUUCUUCCAUCCAUAGAUGGAAGAAGGAAGUCCAGUGAUAAACUGACAUUUAUGCCAAAAACUGAAGAACCGAAGCCAAAAGAGUGAGAUUCGCUGCUCAAAAUGAAAAAGAUAACAAAGAACUACAAAACAAGACUAAAUUCUAAAGGAAUUGGGGGUGAGCUA
This 362-nucleotide long non-coding RNA is filed under the name Elaeis guineensis (African oil palm). RNAcentral describes it as "long non-coding RNA (EGUI_LNC004120)". Lineage: Eukaryota; Viridiplantae; Streptophyta; Magnoliopsida; Arecales; Arecaceae. The record is from RNAcentral.